UCUCCGUAGGUGAACCUGCGGAGGGAUCAUUAACACGUUUUUAACAAAACAAAACUAAUUAUGCCGAUAAUUCAAAUCAAUUUCAAUUUUUUUAUUUUGGUUUGAGUUAUUCGGUCUGUGAAUUUAUCAAUGAAUGGGAUUUAGUUCUUGCAGAAAGGAGUAUUCCUUCUGUUAUAGCUAGAUUUUCAUUCAAUAUCCAAUUAUUUUUUAUUACAAACCCAAAGUAACAAAAAACCAAAUUGAACAGCUCGGGCUAAUAAUAAUAGUAAUAAUAUCUAGUAUUAUGACCUUACAACUGUACUAAUCCUUUUUUUUAAUUUGUUUGUUACUUUCUUUUACCGUUGGACUCUUUUCUGAGUCUUUUGGUAGUUUGAUAUAUCAACAAAUUAAUAAUAAAAACAAAUACUAAGAACAACUCUUAGCAAUGGAUAUCUUGGUUCUC
RNAcentral lists this unclassified non-coding RNA (442 nucleotides) under plant metagenome. RNAcentral's name for it is "partial contains small subunit ribosomal RNA, internal transcribed spacer 1, and 5.8S ribosomal RNA". The record is from RNAcentral.